UACGUAGGGUGCGAGCGUUGUCCGGAAUUAUUGGGCGUAAAGGGCUCGUAGGCGGUUUGUCGCGUCGGGAGUGAAAACCCAGGGCUUAACCCUGGGCUGGCUUUCGAUACGGGCAGACUAGAGGUAUGCAGGGGAGAACGGAAUUCCUGGUGUAGCGGUGAAAUGCGCAGAUAUCGGGAGGAACACCGGUGGCGAAGGCGGUUCUCUGGGCCUGUACUGACGCUGAGGAGCGAAAGCGUGGGGAGCGAACAGG
RNAcentral lists this ribosomal RNA (253 nucleotides) under uncultured bacterium. RNAcentral's name for it is "partial 16S ribosomal RNA". It matches the Rfam family "Bacterial small subunit ribosomal RNA", at positions 524 to 776 of the family's 1533-position model. The record is from RNAcentral.